Schistosoma mattheei is the source of this 46-nucleotide non-coding RNA. Lineage: Eukaryota; Metazoa; Platyhelminthes; Trematoda; Strigeidida; Schistosomatidae. The record is from Rfam.
UCACAGUUGAUGAGUCCCACAUUAGGACGAAACGGCCGUCCCGUAA